AUUGAACGCUGGCGGCAGGCCUAACACAUGCAAGUCGAACGGAUGAAGGGAGCUUGCUCCUGGAUUCAGCGGCGGACGGGUGAGUAAUGCCUAGGUAUCUGCCUGGUAGUGGGGGAUAACGUCCGGAAACGGGCGCUAAUACCGCAUCCGUCCUGCGGGAGAACUUGGGGGAUCUUCGGACCUCAGGCUAUCAGAUGCGCCUAGGUCGGAUUAGCUAGGUGGUGGGUCAACGGCCUACCAAGGCGACGAUCCGUAACUGGUCUGAGAGGAUGAUCAGUCACACUGGAACUGAGACACGGUCCAGACUCCAACGGGAGGCAGCAGUGGGGAAUAGUGGACAAUGGGCGAAAGCCUGAUCCAGCCAGGCCGCGUGUGUGAAGAAGGUCUUCGGAUUGUAAAGCACUUUAAGUUGGGAGGAAGGGCAGUAAGUUAAUACCUUGCUGUUUUGACGUUACCAACAGAAUAAGCACCGGCUAAAUUCGUG
Molecule: ribosomal RNA, 484 nt
Filed under: uncultured bacterium
Lineage: Bacteria
Description: partial 16S ribosomal RNA
Rfam family: Bacterial small subunit ribosomal RNA
Source: RNAcentral